GCCGUUUGAGAAAUCCUUAUUGGAGAAGCCCUCAGAGCUCAUGUCACAUUCAUCCUCUUUCCUGUCCCUCACCGGAUUCUCUCUCAAUCAGGAAAGAUACCCAAAUAAUAGUAUGUUCAAUGAGGUAUAUGGGAAAAACCUGACAUCCAGCUCCAAAGCAGAACUCAGUCCCUCAAUGGCCCCCCAGGAAACAUCUCUGUAUUCCCUUUUUGAAGGGACUCCGUGGUCUCCAUCACUUCCUGCCAGUUCAGAUCAUUCAACACCAGCCAGCCAGUCUCCUCAUUCCUCUAACCCAAGCAGCCUACCCAGCUCUCCUCCAACACACAACCAUAAUUCUGUUCCAUUCUCCAAUUUUGGACCCAUUGGGACUCCAGAUAACAGGGAUAGAAGGACUGCAGAUCGGUGGAAAACUGAUAAGCCAGCCAUGGGUGGGUUUGGCAUUGAUUAUCUCUCAGCAACGUCAUCCUCUGAGAGCAGUUGGCAUCAGGCCAGCACUCCGAGUGGCACCUGGACAGGCCAUGGCCCUUCCAUGGAGGAUUCCUCUGCUGUCCUCAUGGAAAGCCUAAAGUCUAUCUGGUCCAGUUCCAUGAUGCAUCCUGGACCUUCUGCUCUGGAGCAGCUGUUAAUGCAGCAGAAGCAGAAACAGCAACGGGGACAAGGCACCAUGAACCCUCCACACUGAGGCCAAAGUGGCAACCUGGGAAUGAAGGCUCCAUAAACCAUGGCAUGUUGGGUUUGCAGGACUGGCCCACACAGUCCCCUGCAGGUGGCAGCCCUCUUUUCUGUUUCUCGCUGUCAAGAGGGUGUAAGUAUUCCACCAGCCCGCUGAGUGUGCACGAAAUGUUCGCAGUGCAAC
This 856-nucleotide long non-coding RNA is filed under the name Homo sapiens (human). RNAcentral describes it as "long non-coding RNA NONHSAT150151.1". Lineage: Eukaryota; Metazoa; Chordata; Mammalia; Primates; Hominidae. The record is from RNAcentral.